UACGGAGGAUCCAAGCGUUAUCCGGAUUUAUUGGGUUUAAAGGGUGCGUAGGCGGUUUAUUAAGUCAGUGGUGAAAGCCCGGAGCUCAACUUCGGAACUGCCAUUGAUACUGAUAGACUUGAGUACAGAUGAAGUGGGCGGAAUGUGACAAGUAGCGGUGAAAUGCUUAGAUAUGUCACAGAACACCGAUUGCGAAGGCAGCUGACGAAACUGUAACUGACGCUGAGGCUCGAAAGCGUGGGGAUCAAACAGG
Molecule: ribosomal RNA, 253 nt
Filed under: uncultured bacterium
Lineage: Bacteria
Description: partial 16S ribosomal RNA
Rfam family: Bacterial small subunit ribosomal RNA
Source: RNAcentral